GGAAUCCCCUGGAAGAAACCUCAGCCCUCUCUGUUGAGACACCAAGUUACGUGAAAGUCUCAGGAGCAGCUCCGGUCUCCAUAGAGGCUGGGUCAGCAGUGGGCAAAACAACUUCCUUUGCUGGGAGCUCCGCUUCCUCCUACAGCCCCUCGGAAGCCGCCCUCAAGAACUUCACCCCUUCAGAGACACUGACCACGGACAUCGCAACCAAGGGGCCCUUCCCCACCAGCAGGGACCCUCUUCCUUCUGUCCCUCCGACUACAACCAACAGCAGCCGAGGGACGAACAGCACCUUAGCCAAGACCACAACCUCAGCGAAGACCACGAUGAAGCGCCCAACAGCCACGCCCACGACUGCCCGGACGAGGCCGACCACAGACGUGAGCGCAGGUGAAAAUGGAGGUUUCCUCCUCCUGCGGCUGAGUGUGGCUUCCCUGGAAGACCUCACUGACCCCAGAGUGGCAGAAAGGCUGAUGCAGCAGGUGAGUGGGCACUUAUCGGGCCAGGGGAGUAGAGGAAGGGGUGAGGUUCGCAGGGGCUGCAGGGAAGACCCGCAGGACACAGAAGAGCAGCUACCGCACUUGGAAGGGAGUCUCGUUUCUUAUGGAGAAUUAGGAGCUGAAUCUGAGGAUCUCUGCCUGGCUUUGCUUCUGCCUGCCUUCUCCGAGUUCUUCAUUUCCUUCUCUGCAAUGUAAACAUGUGACUCCUGGAGCCCCCAAUUUCUUCUGGUCCUUGGAAGCUUGGCCUUCUGGCCCCUGAGGCAAAGGUCAGUGAUAUUGAUGGGAGGGUAGGUGGGACUCUUGGUUGCAAGUGGCAGAAACCCAAGUCAGAGAAGUUUAUGCAAAAAAAAAA
RNAcentral lists this small RNA (852 nucleotides) under Pan troglodytes (chimpanzee). RNAcentral's name for it is "retained intron". Lineage: Eukaryota; Metazoa; Chordata; Mammalia; Primates; Hominidae. The record is from RNAcentral.